CCUACGGGAGGCAGCAGUAGGGAAUAUUGCUCAAUGGGGGAAACCCUGAAGCAGCAACGCCGCGUGGAGGAUGAAGGUUUUCGGAUUGUAAACUCCUUUUGUUAGAGAAGAUAAUGACGGUAUCUGACGAAUAAGCACCGGCUAACUCCGUGCCAGCAGCCGCGGUAAUGCGGAGGGUGCAAGCGUUACUCGGAAUCACUGGGCGUAAAGAGCGCGUAGGCGGGAUAGCAAGUCAGAUGUGAAAUGCUAUGGCUUAACCAUAGAACUGCAUUUGAAACUGUUAUUCUAGAGUAUGGGAGAGGUAUGUGGAAUUCUUGGUGUAGGGGUAAAAUCCGUAGAGAUCAAGAGGAAUACUGAUUGCGAAGGCGGCCUGCUAGAACAUAACUGACGCUGAUGCGCGAAAGCGUGGGGAGCAAACAGGAUUAGAUACCCGAGUAGUC
This 440-nucleotide ribosomal RNA is filed under the name uncultured bacterium. Its description in RNAcentral is "partial 16S ribosomal RNA". It matches the Rfam family "Bacterial small subunit ribosomal RNA", at positions 338 to 795 of the family's 1533-position model. The record is from RNAcentral.